AGUGAACGCUGGCGGUAGGCCUAACACAUGCAAGUCGAACGGCAGCACAGAGGAGCUUGCUCCUUGGGUGGCGAGUGGCGGACGGGUGAGGAAUACAUCGGAAUCUACUCUGUCGUGGGGGAUAACGUAGGGAAACUUACGCUAAUACCGCAUACGACCUACGGGUGAAAGCAGGGGAUCUUCGGACCUUGCGCGAUUGAAUGAGCUGAUGUCGGAUUAGCUAGUUGGCGGGGUAAAGGCCCACCAAGGCGACGAUCCGUAGCUGGUCUGAGAGGAUGAGCAGCCACACUGGAACUGAGACACGGUCCAGACUCCUACGGGAGGCAGCAGUGGGGAAUAUUGGACAAUGGGCGCAAGCCUGAUCCAGCCAUACCGCGUGGGUGAAGAAGGCCUUCGGGUUGUAAAGCCCUUUUGUUGGGAAAGAAAUCCAUCUGGUUAAUACCCGGGUGGGAUGACGGUACCCAAAGAAUAAGCACCGGCUAACUUCGUGCCAGCCGCCGCUGUAA
RNAcentral lists this ribosomal RNA (506 nucleotides) under uncultured bacterium. RNAcentral's name for it is "partial 16S ribosomal RNA". It matches the Rfam family "Bacterial small subunit ribosomal RNA", at positions 29 to 523 of the family's 1533-position model. The record is from RNAcentral.